Long non-coding RNA from Mugil cephalus (flathead mullet), 1944 nucleotides. RefSeq lists it as uncharacterized. NCBI's taxonomy places the organism in Eukaryota, Metazoa, Chordata, Actinopteri, Mugiliformes, Mugilidae. The record is from RefSeq and is a predicted model, not a curated record. The transcript is spliced from 2 exons.
GCAGCCAGCCGGCUACACGUGCUCCAACACUUUCUGCCAGUCUGCCACCACAGAGUUAGCAACAGUCUGCGUUUCGCCUCCCUCACUUCUCCAAGCCAGUCGCUCUGCACUGCGGCAGGCAGGGGAAGCAGACACACACUCUCACACACUCCCCUCAGCUCCACUCCCAUAUUUUUUGGAAGGGAAGAGACAAGGCGCGAGCUAAAGCCCGACAGCACAACGAUUUUUCGUAUUUCUUUGCGGGGAGCUGCUGCAAAAUCCAGAAAACAUUCAGGGAUUUCUGCUUCCUCGCCUGCCGUGCUGAAAGUUGUCUCAAAGAUGUCUGGAGUAUCGUCAUUACAAAGGGAAUAUGCACAACUCGACCCGCCUGCCAAUAAAGAGACACACAAAAAGUGAGAAGGAAGGAAGGGAAAUUUGGACCUCUGUGGUGGAUUUUGGAAGCGAGCGAACACGCAAUGUUCCAAGGGUCUUUUUUUUUUUUUUUUUUUUCUGGAUCAGAGUGAGAAGACAGGAGCGAUGCCAAAGGUUUCUCCCUGCCCUCUUUUGAAAACACUCUUGCAGCAGUCGACCCCUUGGGCACUGGCUACGCUUAGUCUAAACCUGUGUGCUGCUGCUGAUAAAGCAAUGGAAAUCUCCUGCGCUCACUCCAGGAUAUAGAUGCAGCCGGGCCUUGUAAAUGUGCAGAUCCUGCACUCUCCAUAUGCAGUAUAAAUCAUAUCCAGCGCAGCGGUAUCCAGCCAGGCAAGCCAUCCAGCAACCGGCUCGCAGCCCGGAGAAAGCAUAACCCCAGUGGAGGAGAAAGAGAGGCAGAGAGCGGUGGACUGAAUGAACUGCGAAGAGAAAGAGAGAGAGGAGAGAGGAGAGAGGCGCUCCCAGACAGGGUGACCUACAUUUAACACUGUCUGGAGUCAAAGGCAGACCAAGAGGGAGAGAUGAAGAGAGAGGCGGAGAGCGAGCGGAGACACAAUGCAAUGAGAAUGACAUAGCACGAAAGAGAGAUGAUCAAGAGAGGAAGAUGCAAAGACUAUCAGAAAAUAGCAGUGACAGAGGGAGAGAGCUGAUCCUCAUCUGAGAUCAUCCAUUUCCUACUCGGCUCCCCCUGCCUUUUCCCCUCUCUGCGUUCAGUCAUUCCCGUUUUUGCUCUCUUCCUCUACCCAUAUCAUCUUUCCGUCUGCUGUUUUGCUGCUUUAUUUUCGCCUCUUACUAGUAAUCAACCAUUGUCCGGCGCGUCUGGGGGAAACGCGACUGUGUGUGUUGUAACCGUAGCCUAUGACACACUAACAGUCAUUUGUAGGGUGGCUACUUUGCACACUUUUGUUGUUUUUAACACACGAUGUUCAUAAUCUGUUUGUUUUGUCUGUUUUUUCCUCUACCCUUCUUUCUCUGCAUGUUAUUCUUUAACCCCCCCGCCCCAAACCCCCACCCCCUUCCCAUGUCCAGCUAUCCCACGAGCCCUCCCCGACCGCAAUGAUCUCUUAGCUCUCGUUUCUCCUCCUCUGUCAGCGUUUAUUUAUCUCUGAGUGGCUGGGUAGUAUUUUUAUUGUGGAUCCCUUUGUCUAGAUCCAUGGCGUUAUCUAGUGUCACUGGAGGGGAAGAGCAGCACCAAAGCAGCAGCAGCAGCAGCAGCAGCUCUAUCUGCCUCUCUGUGAGACUGACUCAUGAUCUUGGCUUCAUAUCUGUCCGCCUGCCUUAUGGAUGGAAAGCUGUCUGUCUGAAAGCUGUUACCAGCCGACACAUCCAGCAACACAGGCACUUGAUCUCAGAUAACCAGGUAAGUGUUGCGCUCUCUUUUGCAGACAACCAGGCUUAUGCAGUCUGUAAUCCUCUCUUUGUCAUUUGAUUUGAUCAGUUGCAUGAACAUGUACAUGCUACAAGAACUGCACUUUUGUCCUUCUUAAAAAUCUGUGUAAAAUAGGAUCAAUUAAAAAAAUGAUUUGGCAAGAU